Molecule: ribosomal RNA, 274 nt
Filed under: uncultured bacterium
Lineage: Bacteria
Description: partial 16S ribosomal RNA
Rfam family: Bacterial small subunit ribosomal RNA
Source: RNAcentral
CUACGGAGGGUGCGAGCGUUAAUCGGAAUUACUGGGCGUAAAGCGUACGUAGGCGGUUGGUUAAGUUAGAUGUGAAAGCCCCGGGCUUAACCUGGGAACUGCAUUUAAAACUGGCGAACUAGAGUUGAGUAGAGGGGAGUGGAAUUUCAGGUGUAGCGGUGAAAUGCGUAGAGAUCUGAAGGAACACCAGUGGCGAAGGCGACUCCCUGGACUCGAACUGACGCUGAGGUACGAAAGCGUGGGUAGCAGACGGGAUUAGAAACCCUAGUAGUCC